GACGAACGCUGGCGGCGUGCUUAACACAUGCCAGUCGAACGGAAAGGCCCUGCUUUUGUGGGGUGCUCGAGUGGCGAACGGGUGAGUAACACGUGAGUAACCUGCCCUUGACUUUGGGAUAACUUCAGGAAACUGGGGCUAAUACCGGAUAGGAGCUCCUGCUGCAUGGUGGGGGUUGGAAAGUUUCGGCGGUUGGGGAUGGACUCGCGGCUUAUCAGCUUGUUGGUGGGGUAGUGGCUUACCAAGGCUUUGACGGGUAGCCGGCCUGGGAGGGUGACCGGCGACAUUGGGACUGAGAUACGGCCCAGACUCCUACGGGAGGCAGCAGUGGGGAGUAUUGCACAAUGGGCGGAAGCCUGAUGCAGCAACGCCGCGUGCGGGAUGACGGCCUUCGGGUUGUAAACCGCUUUCGCCUGUGACGAAGCGUGAGUGACGGUAAUGGGUAAAGAAGCACCGGCUAACUACGUG
This 468-nucleotide ribosomal RNA is filed under the name uncultured bacterium. Its description in RNAcentral is "partial 16S ribosomal RNA". It matches the Rfam family "Bacterial small subunit ribosomal RNA", at positions 28 to 507 of the family's 1533-position model. The record is from RNAcentral.